This 200-nucleotide ribosomal RNA is filed under the name uncultured bacterium. RNAcentral's name for it is "partial 16S ribosomal RNA". It matches the Rfam family "Bacterial small subunit ribosomal RNA", at positions 28 to 240 of the family's 1533-position model. The record is from RNAcentral.
GAUGAACGCUAGCGGCAGGCUUAAUACAUGCAAGGCGAGGGGGCAGCAAUGUCACCGUCGUACGGGUGCGUAACGCGUAUGCAACCUACCUUCAACUGGGGGAUAGCCCGGGGAAAACCCGGAUUAAUACCGCAUAACACAAUGAGUUCUCCUGGGUUUAUUGUUAAAGAUUUAUUGGUUGAAGAUGGGCAUGCGUUCGA